GAACUGGACUGAACUAUCUAGUACUUGGACUGUCAGGACCUUAUUCUGCCUGCGGUUGAACUACCAUUGACAAGUCUACAUUACAUAAUGUCAGUUCAGCAAGAUGAUUGGUCAUCCUAUUUUCCCUCUCUUGAACAUCCUAGACCUGGGGUGGCAUCAUUAAGAUUUUUAACCAUCUUCUCGAGGUAUGCGUGGAUGCGGCCGGCAAAAUGCAAGACAUGCUCAUUCAGUUGGUACACCAUUUGGUUCAGUAAUUUUCCUCCUCUUUUUUGAAGCAGACAGUGCAGCGAGGGGAUAGACCUUCUGGGAGUAAACAGCCAUGGGAGAUGCAGCAGUAGGCGUAGCCGAAGCUGGGCUACGGAUCCAACUCCCACUUGAGCAAGGACGGAUCAUACUCCGAAGCCCAUGAGAGCUGCAUCCUUUCCUAUCACCAGAAUGGGAAGGCUCCUAAUUUCCACGCGGGGAGCCUUCCCGUUCCUGAGCCUCCAGGCGAGCUGGGUUCACCCUAAGCUUCCAGGCGUCACCAUGCCAGAAGCGGCCGCCGUCAUACGUGAACUGUCAGCCCUUGCAAAGCAACCGUCGAGCGACACG
Lolium rigidum is the source of this 591-nucleotide long non-coding RNA. RefSeq lists it as uncharacterized. NCBI's taxonomy places the organism in Eukaryota, Viridiplantae, Streptophyta, Magnoliopsida, Poales, Poaceae. The transcript has 3 exons. The record is from RefSeq and is a predicted model, not a curated record.